RNAcentral lists this ribosomal RNA (216 nucleotides) under Triticum aestivum (bread wheat). RNAcentral describes it as "partial small subunit ribosomal RNA". The record is from RNAcentral. Lineage: Eukaryota; Viridiplantae; Streptophyta; Magnoliopsida; Poales; Poaceae.
AUGGAAAGCCCCAUCCCCUUAAAGAUUAAGAUCUUUGUUUGGCAAUUACUACGAGAUCGCCUCCCCUCGGGGACUGAGGUACUUAAGCGGAACGGUCCUGGUGAUGGUAUUUGCCCUCUAUGUGUGGUACCAGAGACCGGGACCCAUAUCCUCUUCUCAUGUAUCGCGGCGAGGAUACUCUGGACGUAUGUCCGCGAGGCGUUGGGGCCUGAAUAG